Molecule: ribosomal RNA, 1032 nt
Filed under: Neosetophoma rosigena
Lineage: Eukaryota; Fungi; Ascomycota; Dothideomycetes; Pleosporales; Phaeosphaeriaceae
Also listed under: 1 other name
Description: SSU rRNA
Rfam family: Eukaryotic small subunit ribosomal RNA
Source: RNAcentral
AUACUGUGAAACUGCGAAUGGCUCAUUAAAUCAGUUAUCGUUUAUUUGAUAGUACCUUACUACUUGGAUAACCGUGGUAAUUCUAGAGCUAAUACAUGCUGAAAACCCCAACUUCGGGAGGGGUGUAUUUAUUAGAUAAAAAACCAACGCCCUUCGGGGCUUCUUGGUGAUUCAUGAUAACUUUACGGAUCGCAUGGCCUUGCGCCGGCGACGGUUCAUUCAAAUUUCUGCCCUAUCAACUUUCGAUGGUAAGGUAUUGGCUUACCAUGGUUUCAACGGGUAACGGGGAAUUAGGGUUCGAUUCCGGAGAGGGAGCCUGAGAAACGGCUACCACAUCCAAGGAAGGCAGCAGGCGCGCAAAUUACCCAAUCCCGACACGGGGAGGUAGUGACAAUAAAUACUGAUACAGGGCUCUUUUGGGUCUUGUAAUUGGAAUGAGUACAAUUUAAACCUCUUAACGAGGAACAAUUGGAGGGCAAGUCUGGUGCCAGCAGCCGCGGUAAUUCCAGCUCCAAUAGCGUAUAUUAAAGUUGUUGCAGUUAAAAAGCUCGUAGUUGAAACUUGGGUCUGGCUGGCAGGUCCGCCUCACCGCGUGUACUUGUCCGGCCGGGCCUUCCUUCUGGAGAACCUCAUGCCCUUCACUGGGCGUGUUGGGGACCAGGACUUUUACUUUGAAAAAAUUAGAGUGUUCAAAGCAGGCCUUUGCUCGAAUACGUUAGCAUGGAAUAAUAGAAUAGGACGUGCGGUCCUAUUUUGUUGGUUUCUAGGACCGCCGUAAUGAUUAAUAGGGACAGUCGGGGGCAUCAGUAUUCAAUUGUCAGAGGUGAAAUUCUUGGAUUUAUUGAAGACUAACUACUGCGAAAGCAUUUGCCAAGGAUGUUUUCAUUAAUCAGUGAACGAAAGUUAGGGGAUCGAAGACGAUCAGAUACCGUCGUAGUCUUAACCGUAAACUAUGCCGACUAGGGAUCGGGCGAUGUUCUUUUUCUGACUCGCUCGGCACCUUACGAGAAAUCAAAGUUUUUGGGUCUGGGG